RNAcentral lists this ribosomal RNA (492 nucleotides) under uncultured bacterium. RNAcentral's name for it is "partial 16S ribosomal RNA". It matches the Rfam family "Bacterial small subunit ribosomal RNA", at positions 29 to 507 of the family's 1533-position model. The record is from RNAcentral.
AGUGAACGCUGGCGGUAGGCCUAACACAUGCAAGUCGAACGGCAGCACAGUAAGAGCUUGCUCUUACGGGAGGCGAGUGGCGGACGGGUGAGGAAUACAUCGGAAUCUACUUUUUCGUGGGGGAUAACGUAGGGAAACUUACGCUAAUACCGCAUACGACCUACGGGUGAAAGCAGGGGAUCUUCGGACCUUGCGCGAUUGAAUGAGCCGAUGUCGGAUUAGCUAGUUGGCGGGGUAAAGGCCCACCAAGGUGACGAUCCGUAGCUGGUCUGAGAGGAUGAUCAGCCACACUGGAACUGAGACACGGUCCAGACUCCUACGGGAGGCAGCAGUGGGGAAUAUUGGACAAUGGGCGCAAGCCUGAUCCAGCCAUACCGCGUGGGUGAAGAAGGCCUUCGGGUUGUAAAGCCCUUUUGUUGGGAAAGAAAAGCAGCAGGUUAAUACCCCGCUGUUCUGACGGUACCCAAAGAAUAAGCACCGGCUAACUUCGUG